UACGUAGGGGGCAAGCGUUGUCCGGAUUUAUUGGGCGUAAAGAGCGUGUAGGCGGCCUUACAGGUCAGCUGUGAAAACUCGAGGCUCAACCUCGAGACGUCGGUUGAAACCGUAUGGCUAGAGUCCGGAAGAGGAGAGUGGAAUUCCCGGUGUAGCGGUGAAAUACGCAGAUAUCGGGAAGAACACCCGUGGCGAAGGCGGCUCUCUGGGACGGUACUGACGCUGAGACGCGAAAGCGUGGGGAGCGAACAGG
RNAcentral lists this ribosomal RNA (253 nucleotides) under uncultured bacterium. RNAcentral describes it as "partial 16S ribosomal RNA". It matches the Rfam family "Bacterial small subunit ribosomal RNA", at positions 524 to 776 of the family's 1533-position model. The record is from RNAcentral.